AGAAGCAACUCCAUUGAGUGGUUCAACUGUUCCAAUCUGUGGAUUAUCCACUAGCACAGCAUGUUCAUUAUGGGACUGCAACAAGACAUUGUUAGAAUGAAAUAAACUGAAUCAGAGGAAAUAACUGAGGGAAAUGACAGAAAAUGGAAAACCAAACAACAUGCUCCUCUCACCUUCGCUUUGGUGGCCGAGUCAUCCAAUGAUACACAAUCUGGUUUGAUAUUUCUGGCUGCGAGUUCUUGCUUUUUGACCUCUAAGAAACUCCUCUUUUCAUCUUUGCUAUAAAUUCUUACAGUUGCAGGCUUUCCCAGAGGAUCCAUACAUUUCAGGGGCAAGACAUUUGAGCUGUUAAACUUAUUCCCAUCAAAGAUUUUCUUUUCCUCCAGGGGAAUAUCUCCACAUCCACGGGAUAGUUCAAUUGUUCGUGUUUGCAGAGUCUCCACCACAGCAUUUUUAUUCUGUGAGCUAGAUGUUUGGCCUUGGAGUGUUUCAAUUGUUGCUGUCCUCCUAUUCUCCACUGUAGCAUGAUCAUUACGCGAACUAGAUAUUUGGCCAUACUGCAACCAACAUAUUGCUUGAGAUCAAUUGAAUCAGAGGAGCCCACUAAGGCAUAAUCCUAGUCUCAUGACAAACAUUAGCAGUUUCAUUUCUAAAAUUGUCUGGAAGCUAUAUUACAUUAUGAUUUUCUACUUCUUUGAAUGGUCUUGUUUGUUAUUUCAUGGCUUCACCAAUCAAAUCCCAAUAAGCACGUUUGCAAGAAUUACCAGUGAAGGAACCAUGGAAAUCUUUGUGCAGUCGGUGAUCGUUCCUCUCAAAUUAGGCAUUGAAUUUGAUUUCUCUAUGGCUUGUUCAAUUUCUUUUUUGUGAUUGUUCUGGGGUGAUUUUGAUGCAGCACUGUGCUCUCUGUUUUUUUCUACCUGCCAAUGUAAAACAUUCCAUCUUAUAAGCUUAUACAGGAGUAAAUAAUUAAAUCAACUGGAGACUCUUGAAACUCAGAAUUGUCCUAGUCUGUUAUUUUGAAUUUCACUGAGAAUAUGGAAUCCUUGCCAUUGACUUACCCAUCAAACUCAAUGCAAAAGAUCCUAACUUGAAAUUAAUAAUUAGACACUAGGAGUGAAUUUAGGAGCUUGUUUCACCUUUGCUUUGGCUUCUAAUUCAUCCAGAGUUACACAUCCUGGUUUGAUAUUUCUGGCUGCAAGUUCCAGCUUCUUAACCUUUUCGACCCUGGAUUCAUCAGUGCUGUAAGUUCUUGCAAUAUCAGGCUUUUUUGGAGGCUCCAUAUGUUCCGGGGAGGAGAUAUGUAACCCAUUGAACUUAUUCUCAAUGAAGCCUUUCUUUUCAUCUAGUGGAAUCACACCAUACAGUGAUUUGAUUGUUUGUGUUUGCCAACUCUUCAUCAGAACAGCAAGUUCAUCAUCUGAGCUAUGCAUUGCACCAUACUGCAAUGCAGGAGAUGAAACAUAUUGAAGAAAGAUAAAUGGCUGAGGCAUAAUCUUAAACAGUUGCUGAAGGUCUGAGUGCAAGUCAACCGAGCUAAUCAGUGAGUUUCCCACUGCCUGAAUCCAAGACUGUUUGCAAAAGUAAAAAGGUUGAUGAAGGUCUGAAUCCAAGUUGACCAAGCCAAUCGAUAUCAACCUCAGGAAUGAUGCAGAUGUUGUCUAUGAAUCCGAGCACUUUCAGCUUCAAGUAAUGAUCAACCAAUUCCUCAUCAGUUGGGUGGAAUCUGUAUCCAACUGGCAGAUUCUCUGGGAUGAUCACAGUUACCA
Molecule: long non-coding RNA, 1766 nt
Organism: Eucalyptus grandis
Lineage: Eukaryota; Viridiplantae; Streptophyta; Magnoliopsida; Myrtales; Myrtaceae
Exons: 5
Source: RefSeq, a predicted model, not a curated record